AUGCAAGUCGUACGGGCUCGGCUUCGGCCGGGCCAGUGGCGCAAGGGUGAGUAAGGCGACGGUAACCAACCCCAUGGGUGGGUAUAGCCGCGGGAAACUGCGGGUAAUCCCCAGCGAUGCAGGCGGCUGGCAUCAGCGGCCUGCCAAAGCUCCGGCGCCGUGGGACGGGCCGUCGUGGUAUUAGGUAGUUGGUGGGGUAACGGCCCACCAAGCCGACGAUGCCUACCGGGCGUGCGAGCGUGGCCCGGCACACUGGGACUGAGACACUGCCCAGACUCCUACGGGAGGCUGCAGUCGAGAAUCUUCGGCAAUGGGCGCAAGCCUGACCGAGCGACGCCGCGUGGAGGACGAAGGCCUUCGGGUUGUAAACUCCUGUCGAGGGGAAAGAAGGUGCCGCAAGGCACUUGACUGAUCCCUGGAGGAAGCACGGGCUAAGUUCGUGCCAGCAGCCGCGGUAAGACGAACCGUGCAAACGUUAUUCGGAAUCACUGGGCUUAAAGCGCGUGUAGGCGGGAAGGCACGUCUGUCGCUGAAAUCCCCCGGCUCAACCGGGGAAACG
RNAcentral lists this ribosomal RNA (559 nucleotides) under uncultured bacterium. RNAcentral's name for it is "partial 16S ribosomal RNA". It matches the Rfam family "Bacterial small subunit ribosomal RNA", at positions 55 to 623 of the family's 1533-position model. The record is from RNAcentral.